GACGAACGCUGGCGGCGUGCUUAACACAUGCAAGUCGAACGAUGAAGCUAGAGCUUGCUCUGGUGAAUUAGUGGCGAACGGGUGAGUAACACGUGAGUAACCUGCCCCGAACUCUGGGAUAACUGCUGGAAACUGUAGCUAAUACCGGAUACGACCCUCGGCGGCAUCGCCAGGGGGUGGAAAGAAUUUCGGUCAAGGAUGGACUCGCGGCCUAUCAGCUAGUUGGUGAGGUAACGGCUCACCAAGGCGACGACGGGUAGCCGGCCUGAGAGGGUGACCGGCCACACUGGGACUGAGACACGGCCCAGACUCCUACGGGAGGCAGCAGUGGGGAAUAUUGCACAAUGGGCGCAAGCCUGAUGCAGCAACGCCGCGUGAGGGAUGACGGCCUUCGGGUUGUAAACCUCUUUUAGUAGGGAAGAAGCGAAAGUGACGGUACCUGCAGAAAAAGCACCGGCUAACUACGUGCCAGCCGCCGCCGUAA
RNAcentral lists this ribosomal RNA (484 nucleotides) under uncultured bacterium. RNAcentral's name for it is "partial 16S ribosomal RNA". It matches the Rfam family "Bacterial small subunit ribosomal RNA", at positions 28 to 523 of the family's 1533-position model. The record is from RNAcentral.